Molecule: long non-coding RNA, 1385 nt
Organism: Astatotilapia calliptera (eastern happy)
Lineage: Eukaryota; Metazoa; Chordata; Actinopteri; Cichliformes; Cichlidae
Source: Ensembl
CGUGCAAAUGUUUGCAAUAUAAAAAAAAAUGUAAACAUUAAUGUUUAGUGAACUUCAAACUACUGCAUAAUAUUUAUGCAUAUAAAUAACCAAACAUCAAGGCAAGCUGUGUAGCCACACAAUGCACAAUUGCAUCAAACUGACAUUGAGGUAUGUCAACUAAAGUUGCUGCCUGAACAAAAAUAAAAUUAAACACUGAAAGUAGUACCUUUUAUAAGAAAUAAAUAAAAACUAGUAGGCCCGAGUCCCAUACAAUCUCAAAAUGGCUCAACAAAACAUGGUUCCUGCAACCUUUCAAAGGUUUUUAGCCAAAAACACCAGCCUAUUGACAUGAUCAGGCUUCAGGGAUGCACGCAGGCAGUUGACAACAUUUCCACCAGUACUAAAGACCCUUUCUGAUGAGGCACUUGUGGCUGGGAUGCAAAGAUAUUUCUUUGCCAGGAUGGAGAGUCGUGGGAAGAGGUUCUGUGAUAGCUUCCACCACCCCAGUGGGUCUUCCUCUGUGUCCAGGGUCCCUGCCUGGAGGUAGGCCUGAAGCUCAAAAGCUAUGGCCUGGUCCAGUUGAAUAGCAUGUUCUGCACCUGGAGCUGUGCUGUGAGGGGCCUUAAAGAAGCUGCUUAGGCCCUUUUUUCUCUUCUUUUGGUUUGAUGCACCAUCAUCAGCAACCUCCGUGUUACCAACGGGUGUCCCCAUCACUGCAGCCUCCUUUAAUGGGACAAAUAUAAAAUGACAGCAACACAGAACGAGGAACCAGUUUUAUCUGUCUCGGGUUUGGCAUUCUAAAAUACAAUCCUUAAAUAAUUACUAUAAAUUCAUAAAGUCAUCAUCUUGCUCAGCCAAGAUUGAGUUGUUAAUAGGUGGAGUGUUGGUUUUAUUAAAGACACACUCACAUAUUUCUCUCCAGAAAGUGCAUCAGUGAAUUCAACCAGAGGUCCCAAGGUCUUGUUGAUGGCCUCAAGGACAUGAAUGUCCUGCCAUGAGGGGAUGAGGUGCCUGGUUCCUUUGUCUUGGGAGAGGACAUGGGCAAUGGCCUUCUGCAGCUCAAGGACUCUGGAAACCAUGGCCUGCCUAGAUCCCCAUCUGGUUGGACAUUCAGUCUUUAAGGAGUGGUCUGGCAGUUUGAGGUCUAUCUGUGCCCUUUUCAGCUCUCUCUUUUUUUUCCAACUGAAUGAAAAGGUGCUGACCACUUUUUUGCAGACCCCCACUGCACGCUCAAUCCUGUGAUCUUUCAUGGCUCUUUCUAUAAAAACAUAAAAAAUAUAAACAAGCAUUAUCAGGAUGAUGAUUGUCAUUUCCUUGAGUGUGAAUGAAUAAGAAAAAGUGAUGGUAGCUUAUUUAUGUGUUUGUAUAAUUCAUAGAAAAUGUGUAUGACUGUGAGAAUGAAU